Molecule: long non-coding RNA, 1524 nt
Filed under: Capsicum annuum
Lineage: Eukaryota; Viridiplantae; Streptophyta; Magnoliopsida; Solanales; Solanaceae
Description: long non-coding RNA (CANN_LNC018671)
Source: RNAcentral
GUGAUUCGAUCAACUUGACCUAUAUUCACAAUAAAAAAAGAGCGAAUUUACUAACACCAGUUGAUACAAAAGAGAGUACAAAGCACAAAAGAGAGUAAACAAACUUGAGAGUAUUUUCAUAUUUUCUAUUUGUCAUGGUAUCAGAAUGGUUACUUGCAUACAUUAUUCGUUACUUCCAGUCCUAGGUGUGAUCAUCAUUGCUGAAGCUUGGUAGGAAGGUCAGCCAUAGUAGAAGAUGGAGCUACUUAUAUCGGACAAUCGCAAGCGCGAAUAGAGUACAAUCACCCACUGUUUCUAUAGCCUAGUGAUACACCAGGAACUGUGCCCAUUGGAUUGAAAUUGAUGGGACCAGCAAAAUCCACAUUAUGGAGUCAUUUUCUCACAAUUGCGUUGUUAGGGAAGAACAAAGUAGGGUUCAUCGACGGAAGUUGUUUACAAAGCUUGUACAAAAGAGAUUUAGCGAUAUAGUGGGAUCAUUAUAAUGCUCUGGUAUUAUUGUGGAUAAGCUGCACAGUUACACCUGAGCUGGUUUCAACCAUUGUGUUGGCUUCUACUGCAAAGAAGAAAUAGGAUAAAAUCAAGGAGAGGUUCGACAAAUCGAUUUCUCAAGAGUUUAUCAAUUGUGGAGAGAAAUUGCAACUCAUACUCAAGGUACAGAUUCUGUUACAACCUAUUUCUCAAAGAUGAAAGAUUAUUAGGAUGGAUAGGAUCUGUUAGUACCUAUACCAUCUGCUUGUGAUUGUGUAUAAUCAGGUCCUUACAUUGCACAUUUGAACAAUCAAUGUUGGCCGUAAUUUCUUAUGGGUUCAAAUGAAAGUUAUAGCCAUGUGCGAAGUGACAUUCUGCUAAAAACCCCAAUUUUGCCCUUAAAUCAAGCCUAAGUUGUUGUUGUACAAGAAUAGAGUCGGUGAAUUUUAGGAGUGGCAGACAUCAAUAAAGAAUCCUUGAGUUUAUUUGCAGGACAAAGACAAGUUCAUAACUACAAGAAAAAGAAGCCUGGGAACAAUGAACACAAUAUACCUAGAGAUGCUUGUUGAAGUUAUGGUUAUAAGGGGCAUUUCACAGAAGAUUGCUACAGAAAUAUUGGUUAUCCAACGGACUUUAAGAGUAGGAGAAGAUGCAGGGGACUGAAGGGAGUAAAUCUGUCCAUCAUGCUACUGCUGAUGAACUAGACCCUAGUCCAAUAGUCAGUAUGAACAGUACAUGAAGCUUUAGGGAGAAGAGAAAUAGUUUUGACUAGACUAAAUGAAACCACAAGCAGCUACUAGUCCAAUAUGGCAGGUAUCAUUGCUUUGUUGUCUAAAAUAGAGGGAUAUGACUGGAUAGUGGAUUAUGGAGCAUCACAUCAUGUAACCUUUCUUAGAAAGGUACUAAAUGACCUUAAGUUCACCGAGAAUCACAGAAAUAAUGGAGUACAAUUAGUCAAUUACCAAUUGGUAGUAAGUGCGAAAUUACUCAUAGUAAACACAGUAAUAUUGAAGAACCAUACUCUUAAAAAAAAUAUGUUGUUUGUUCCAGAUUUCA